GUCACAAGGUGAAGAGAAAAAAUAAAUGAGUGUAAACAUCCAGAACUGUCGGUACUGUUCCAUGGAAUGCCUGUUUGAAAUAUUAUUCAGAAGAGAAGGUGACUAGGAGCGAUUCAGGCUAGAGGGGACCUGAGCCCUAGGACCAUGCCUCAGGACUACCUGGCUUGAUGACUCCUUGCUGUCCCCAGUUCACCUGGCCGUGUUGCUGCUCCAGUUCCAACUGUUCUGCCUGCAGCUAUGGAACCCUGACCUACCUGUUGUUCCAAACCUGCUGGAACCCUGACCUAUUCACCGGACGUGCUACCUGUCCCAGACCUGCUGUUUUCAACUCUCUAGAGACAGCAGGAGCGGUAGAGAUACUCUCAAAGAUCGGCUAUGAAAAAGCCAACUGACACUUACUCUUGUGUUACUGACUUGUUGCACCCACGACAACUACUAUGAUUAUUAUUAUUUGACAAUGCUGGUCAUUUAUGAACAUUUGAACAUCAAGGCCAUGUGCUGUUAUAAUCUCCACCCGGCACAGCCAGAAGAGGACUGGCCACCCCUCAUAGCCUGGUUCCUCUCUAGGUUUCUUCCUAG
This 579-nucleotide long non-coding RNA is filed under the name Salmo salar (Atlantic salmon). Its description in RNAcentral is "lncRNA (ENSSSAG00000103791.1)". Lineage: Eukaryota; Metazoa; Chordata; Actinopteri; Salmoniformes; Salmonidae. The record is from RNAcentral.